GUGGGGAAUAUUGGACAAUGGGCGCAAGCCUGAUCCAGCCAUGCCGCGUGAGUGAUGAAGGCCUUAGGGUUGUAAAGCUCUUUCAGUAGGGAAGAUAAUGACGGUACCUACAGAAGAAGCCCCGGCUAACUUCGUGCCAGCAGCCGCGGUAAUACGAAGGGGGCUAGCGUUGUUCGGAUUUACUGGGCGUAAAGCGCACGUAGGCGGAUUGGUCAGUUAGAGGUGAAAUCCCGAAGCUCAACUUCGGAACUGCCUUUAAUACUGCCAGUCUAGAGUCCGGAAGAGGUAAGUGGAACUCCUAGUGUAGAGGUGGAAUUCGUAGAUAUUAGGAAGAACACCAGUGGCGAAGGCGGCUUACUGGUCCGGUACUGACGCUGAGGUGCGAAAGCGUGGGGAGCAAACAGGAUUAGAAACCCGAGUAGUCC
Molecule: ribosomal RNA, 425 nt
Filed under: uncultured bacterium
Lineage: Bacteria
Description: bacterial SSU rRNA
Rfam family: Bacterial small subunit ribosomal RNA
Source: RNAcentral